CAGAUACCCGUUUUCGCAGCACUCAGGGAGCGGUUGUUGAAAGAAGUGUGUAUCGAUGCCUCUUCUGCAAUAUUUUAGUGCCAUAUUACGCCUUGAAACGAUUAUAAACGAGUGAAGAGGAGGCUUGGAGGAUGGUUGAAUUACAGUGUCUUCCCAUAUCCAGUAUCCUUCUCUGUAAUCCCUGGGAGAUGUAGAUGAUCUAAUAUGAAAUUGCCUUCAUGGAUUAGAAAGGCACAGAAGUCCAAGAGUAUUGUGUCAUGCCCUUUUGCAUAUGAAAACUUAUGCAACUUGAGAUUUUGUGGGUUUGCACUGGCUUAUUUCUAAAAGAUGAAUACUUAAUGCCUUCACUGUGAUAGUCUCUAGUUAAUGAGGCAGAUAUUAAUGCAAUAAAGGAGGAUCAAGGUAGCAUCAUACUGCAGUGCAGUCAAGUAAGGUUGGGCUAUUUGAUCUGUAACAGUUAUGAAUGACCUGUGAUGACCUGUGGUGAAGCCAUACCUCCUCAUACAAGAUUUUUAAGCAGUUUGUUAAUCAUUCUAAAGAAUGAAGAUUAUGUCGAAGAUUCUGAUUGCAAAGUUUAAUUUCAAACACAGCUGCCAUCAUCUUCACUGCUUUGCCUGGAUUGGUAGGGGAAGAGGCAAAGCCGGAGUGUCCCUAUUAAGCCGACAUUUUAAGACACUUCGAAAAUGAAGGCAUCUGAAAGUUUGAGUGAUGGCGGUCAUCGUUAAAUAUUAUACAAGGGUGAACAAUGGGAUAUUGCCACCGCAUUCCACGUUAAUGUUAUUUCACAUUGAUUGUGGCCAUAUUGGACAAUUUCAGUCUGCAUAGUCAUCAAGUACCUUCUACACUUGGCACCAUUGCUGCCAUCUCAAGUUGAUAGUGGCCACACUGGAGUCAGUCUGCAUAAUGUCAUCAGAUAUGUGGACUACCUGGACUAAACCUCAAUCGAGUUGUGUUGGGGACUACCAAAAGAUGAACCGUGCA
Molecule: long non-coding RNA, 981 nt
Organism: Macrobrachium nipponense
Lineage: Eukaryota; Metazoa; Arthropoda; Malacostraca; Decapoda; Palaemonidae
Exons: 7
Source: RefSeq, a predicted model, not a curated record